Molecule: ribosomal RNA, 433 nt
Filed under: uncultured bacterium
Lineage: Bacteria
Description: partial 16S ribosomal RNA
Rfam family: Bacterial small subunit ribosomal RNA
Source: RNAcentral
AACGAACGCUGGCGGCAUGCCUAACACAUGCAAGUCGAACGGGACCUUCGGGUCUAGUGGCGCACGGGUGCGUAACGCGUGGGAACCUGCCCUUAGGUUCGGAAUAACUCCCCGAAAGGGGUGCUAAUACCGGAUAAUGUCUUCGGACCAAAGAUUUAUCGCCUUUGGAUGGGCCCGCGUUGGAUUAGCUAGUUGGUAGGGUAAAAGCCUACCAAGGCGACGAUCCAUAGCUGGUCUGAGAGGAUGAUCAGCCACACUGGGACUGAGACACGGCCCAGACCCCUACGGGAGGCAGCAGUGGGGAAUAUUGGACAAUGGGCGAAGGCCUGAUCCAGCAAUGCCGCGUGAGUGAUGAAGGCCUUAGGGUUGUAAAGCUCUUUUACCCGGGAUGAUAAUGACAGUACCGGGAGAAUAAGCUCCGGCUAACUCCGUG